AGCCGCGGUAAUACGUAGGUGCCAAGCGUUGUCCGGAAUUAUUGGGCGUAAAGCGCGCGCAGGCGGUCCUUUAAGUUUGAUGUGAAAGCCCCACGGGCUCAACCGUGGAGGGUCAUUGAAAACUGGGGGGACUUGAGUGCAGAAGAGAAAGAGUGAAUUUCCACGUGAGCGGUGAAAUGCGUAGAGAGGGGAGGAACACCCGUGGGGAAGGGGACUUUUUGGUUNGUUAACGACGGUGAGGCGNGAAAGGGUGGGGAGCCAACCAGAUUAGAUACCCUGGUAGUUCACCCCGUAAACGAUGAGUGGUAAGUGUUAGAGGGUUUCCGCCCUUUAGUGGUGCAGCAAACGCAUUAAGCACUCCGCCUGGGGAGUACGGCCGCAAGGCUGAAACUCAAAGGAAUUGACGGGGGCCCGCACAAGCGGUGGAGCAUGUGGUUUAA
RNAcentral lists this ribosomal RNA (440 nucleotides) under Bacillus sp. S1-3. RNAcentral describes it as "bacterial SSU rRNA". It matches the Rfam family "Bacterial small subunit ribosomal RNA", at positions 513 to 949 of the family's 1533-position model. The record is from RNAcentral. Lineage: Bacteria; Bacillati; Bacillota; Bacilli; Caryophanales; Bacillaceae.